This 477-nucleotide ribosomal RNA is filed under the name uncultured bacterium. RNAcentral describes it as "partial 16S ribosomal RNA". It matches the Rfam family "Bacterial small subunit ribosomal RNA", at positions 30 to 507 of the family's 1533-position model. The record is from RNAcentral.
AUUGAACGCUGGCGGCAUGCCUUACACAUGCAAGUCGAACGGUAACAGGUUAAGCUGACGAGUGGCGAACGGGUGAGUAAUGUAUCGGAACGUGCCCAGUCGUGGGGGAUAACUGCUCGAAAGAGCAGCUAAUACCGCAUACGACCUGAGGGUGAAAGCGGGGGAUCGCAAGACCUCGCGCGAUUGGAGCGGCCGAUAUCAGAUUAGGUAGUUGGUGAGGUAAAGGCUCACCAAGCCGACGAUCUGUAGCUGGUCUGAGAGGACGACCAGCCACACUGGGACUGGGACACGGCCCAGACUCCUACGGGAGGCAGCAGUGGGGAAUUUUGGACAAUGGGCGCAAGCCUGAUCCAGCCAUGCCGCGUGCGAGAAGAAGGCCUUCGGGUUGUAAACCGCUUUUGUCAGGGAAGAAAAGGUUCUGGCUAAUACCUGGGACUCAUGACGGUACCUGAAGAAUAAGCACCGGCUAACUACGUG